This 253-nucleotide ribosomal RNA is filed under the name uncultured bacterium. RNAcentral's name for it is "partial 16S ribosomal RNA". It matches the Rfam family "Bacterial small subunit ribosomal RNA", at positions 524 to 776 of the family's 1533-position model. The record is from RNAcentral.
UACGGAGGGUGCAAACGUUGCUCGGAAUCAUUGGGCGUAAAGCGCACGUAGGCGGCCUGUUAAGUCGGAUGUGAAAGCCCCGGGCUCAACCCGGGAAGUGCAUUCGAAACUGGCGGGCUUGAAUAUGGAAGAGGGUCGCGGAAUUCCCGGUGUAGAGGUGAAAUUCGUAGAUAUCAGGAGGAACACCGGUGGCGAAGGCGGAUCUCUGGGCCUGUUCUGACGCUGAGGCGCGAAAGCUAGGGGAGCGAACAGG